AGACAUCAGCACCACGCUUCACCAGUUGAAACCCAACACAUUGCGUUACUUCAGGCCAUCAUAUUGUCCUCUUCUGAUAAGGACAAGUGGCUGGAACAAGUAAACACAUCAAUGAACACCCCUUCCAAAGGUAUAGAGAGGAGCUCCAUCAUCGUCUGCAAAGCAUGUGACAAAAGCUUUCCUGGCAACCAGAAGUCGCAGUUGGAUGAUUUCGUCACAGGUCACCCUCAGAGGGAAAAUUCUGAAGCGCUGUGAAGAGACAUGUGUCUGGGAUUGGUGGAUGCUGACAUCCCGUGAAAAAAAGCACAAAACCAGAAGCUCCACUACAUUGUUGAGGGAAAUGGCAAUCAAACUCUUAGAUGAGUCAACUUUCAAGAGGUGGUACUUGAAGGACUGGCAUCAACAAGUUACCACCAGUAUCAAGGCUAACCUUGGGGACAGCAGUAUAUGGAUCUGGCUAGAAACAACAACCAAUGUGCCAGGGUAAGAAGUUGCCAACGUCACUUUUGGAAAGCUGGACGUCUCAUGAUUGAACUUUUAUUUAUCUUUUUUGUUACGGAGUCAGAUGGCAUCUGUUGAUGGUUGUCCCAUUGAGGGAUAUUCUCUGGUCUGUCAUCAUAUCCAACACCAAUUUCAAUUCACCUUUGAGAAUGAUUGGAGGUUUGGUCGUUUAAGGUCUUAAAGGAGCAACUCAUGUUGUCAUUUAAAUACUGCAGACAUGCUUGGAUUAAACCAGGCAUUUCGGUUUUGAAGGCGGAGACUUUACCAUUAAACUAUGGCUGCAAACCUACACGCCGUCCCUCGUGUCCUCCUCUUUUUAGAAAAGGCAACUGUUACAUAGGGACCCUGAAUGCACUAGAGGGUCUCUAUUGUUAACUUGCUUGUCAAGAGCAUCCUGGGCUCAUUAGACACAAGUUUUGAGGCAACCAAUAUAUAGUUUUGCGUUCUGAUGCAUACCAAAGUGUGGCACAGAAAUGAAGACUCCGGCAGUCAGGUGCUAUUAAGAACUAUCUGGGCUCUAAGAAGGGGCUGUGCAAGCCGUCACCUGGCAAGGUUUUGUAGAUUUUCAAAAAGCUUUCCUUUUCUGGCUUGUCGGACUCCACGGACAAACACAGAUUUCAGAGUGAAAAACAGUUAUUGCUAAAGGGAAAAAGAGGACCUCAUUUUCCGAUUUUCCCGCAAAAUAGAGGCCCUGAUUUAAGUAUUAAAUAAUUAUAAUUCCAGAACAAGAGUGAAAGUUCAUCUAUAGAAAUGAACUUUUUCCAUUCAUUCGGGGCAGAAAGCUGAGAGGAGGGUAAAAUUGCACCUUUUUGGAGUGUUCUGUUAAUUCCUACAUUUUAAUCUAUCGCAUUAGCUAAACCCCAGUUCCAUAUUUUUUUCAGCCUCCACGUCAAAAGAGUUUUGUCCCUUUUUUAGGGAAACAAUUUUGGUGCCGCCACCAUUUUCAUGAAAAGCUUUGAGCCUCUUGCAACACCCAUUUCCAAAAUCAAGCCUUAAGGCAAACAAUUUGAGCACCCAAAUCGUUCUUUAGUAUCACUUUUAUGAAAAUACAAAACUCUGAAUUGCAAACAUCAAUUCAAUUGGAUUUUGCGUAAAAUGAGAUAGAAUAGCAAAGGAAUUAAGAAACCAAGUUCUAAAAUCUCGAUGGCUCUUGGCUUAGAAAUGCCAAAUAUUGGAGCGGAAACAACAUAUUGAAAUGGGCACGAGGUUUUAAAAUUCAUUUUGAAAAUCUUUCAAGUUUAUAAUUAUAUAUUAGAUAAAGCUGCUCUUUUCUAAGGUCUUCUUUUUUCGCGUUUUCGUGAUCUUAUGUCUUCUCUUUCUUGCUAAAUGACCCUGUUUCUUUGCCUCAAAAUCACGUUCUUUUUCAAAGAUAUAUUACUUUCUUUCCUGUUCGUGGACAACAAACGUUAUUUAGUUAGUUAGAAAGAGUUGAUCAAUAAACCAGAGAGCUUCACAUACGGUCCAGAAACUCUGGAAGGGAUCCCGCCGGCACCACUGACGAAAAAGGGCAGAGCGGUGAGUCAAAUAUCAAAUUUGAAUCUUCAUUACAUGACAAACAAACAAAACCCUCAAGUGGAUACUCUUUAAAAUGAGAAUAAAAGAAAGUGGCAUCAAACGAUGCCUUGAUGUACGAACAACUGACGGUCUCUUUUUACUUUUAACCUUAACGCUCAAUGGUUGAACCAUGACAAAUAUCCUAAUAGUUUAUUCUCACGAGCCCGGACUCCAGUCCUUUCUAAAACAUUCAUUUCCAGCUAAUCCCUCCAAGGUCGAGUAAAAGACUUGAGUGCACUCGAACUCGAGCCCGGACUCGCCCCAGCAGUAUUAGGUACUCCUUUCCAUUGUCUUUAAGGAAUAAAUUGUACUAAAACUUCGCUCCAACAAUGUUAACAACGACAUUUGUUUCUCGUGCCGGUGAUUCCGAUGUUUCUCCUCCGAUGAAAGUUUGCCUCUCGACAUUGCGUUUUGUUGCUAAUCGACCUGCCCCUUGGAAAGCCGAGUGCCAGAAUGCCGAUCCGGACGAUGCCAAUUACCUGUUUUAACGUGCUUUAAGCACCCUGGACCUCAUGAAAACAAGCCGUUAUGGCUUAUGAAGAUCCACGGUCUCAAAUCUACCCAUAUAACUGUUUUUUUUUCUUUCUAAUUGAGACCAAAAUACAUACAUACAUACAUUUUUGA
Tigriopus californicus is the source of this 2679-nucleotide long non-coding RNA. RefSeq lists it as uncharacterized. The record is from RefSeq and is a predicted model, not a curated record. NCBI's taxonomy places the organism in Eukaryota, Metazoa, Arthropoda, Copepoda, Harpacticoida, Harpacticidae. The transcript is spliced from 2 exons.